UUUCGGAGAUGCCGGUGUUGAUCGUGGCUAUUCUGUGGUGGAUGUUGAUGGUCACUUUUCAAAAGACUCAACUGACUAAUUAUCGCGAGAUUCAUCGUGCAACGUUGGUUGUGUGCCUUCCGGAUAAUCGACAAUCAAUCCGCUCCUCCUGAAUCGGUAUUAUGUCGAAUUCGUGGCUGGUCAGGUAUCGUGCGCGGAACCAACCUACGAGAUCUCGGGAUUUUCCAUCCGAUUCGCGAUUACAUGGAUCUUCUACAACCACUAAGAGGUAUAUCAAUAAAGGAUCGAGUGGAUUCGGAGUUUGAGAUUUUUUGUAAAAGAAUUGAUUGCUCUGGCUUAAGGUAUUUUGAUUGGGCUGAUUCUUGAUGGGACUAAUACCGGAACAGGUUGUAUUGGUAAGAUCGUUUAGGUAUUUCAUGUGGUUUUCGGAUCUGGUUGAUAUACUUGGAGGUAUGUUUGCGAGGGGUGUGUGUAAGUCAUUGUUCUGAUGUUAGCUCUUGUUAAUGGACCUUUGCCAUGUCAGGUGCGCUUGUAUGGCAGGUCCGAAAAGCUUUAAUAAAAUGGUUAUAAUUUUUUUGUCUGGGGAAGGGAAGGUAUCGGGGGUUUUAUUUUAGUUUUUUCCCCGAUUCUUUUCCCUCUCCCCGUGGUGUCGUGUUUUCCCCUUUCCCUUUCUCCCUUAAUCUCUCUUCUCCGCCCUCUGAAUUUUUAUAUAUUCUGGUUCGCUUACCGCGUAACGGCUCAACAAAACGACAAAACGAUUGGCUACUCGGCAAAGGUACAUAACACUUUAAUUUAGUUUAAUUUCGUUGUUUAUGAAUUUACCCUUCAAUUUUACAAUAUCCAAUUAAUAGGGUUGUUUCAUUUAAUCGUAAUUAAAAUUUAAGGCAUGGCUACAAUUUAUGCAUAUUUCAACUAUUUCUUGACAGUAUGUUCUACAAUUUCGCAAAUAAAUUAUUUGUUUAAACAUAUAUACUCUGCCAUAUUGUGAUUUGUAAUUUACAUCAAUGGAAUUGAUUUGAAGGGGGUUUGUAAUAAAUUAAUGACUAAUAAGAAAUUGCUAAACUUUAUAGAAGGAGAUUUGGACAAUAUAACUUGCACCUUUCAGUUCUGUGGUUUUAUAAACGUUAACUUGAUUUAUUAAAGGUAAUUUAUUAAACUGAGGCAUAGCAUGAUUUUUAAUAUUUGUUCCAAAUUUAUAUAUUAUUCAACAAUUGAAUCAAGGUGGCUUUGGAUUUACAUUAAAAUGAUCUGCAAAUGUUUCUAUUAUUCUUUGUUGAGCGCUCAUGCAUAUCAACAACUAGUUCAGCAAUUGAAUCAAAGUGCCUUUGGAUUUACGGUAUAAUAAUUUGCGAAUGUUUAUAUUUUUUGUUGAGUGCACAUGCACAUCAACUACUUCAUUCAUAUCAGAUGCGGUGCUUAAUCAAUUGUUUCAUUGUUUUUAGCACACACACACACAAAUUUUUUUAACUUAUCUCUUUAUAAAUAACAGUCAAUAUAGUAGAAUCCUGCAUGUAUUAUGAUAGUCUCUUUGGUUAGGGUGAUGGCUUACUGCAAUAGUAUAAUGGAGCUAUUAUUGAUAAACAUUUGUACUUAGUUCUUUAAAGGAUCAUUGGGAUUUUGAUGUACUUUUAUGUGUCAAAAGUCUGCCAUGGUACCCGAGGCAGUGAUUACAGAUUGCUGUAAAUAGCUGUACCUAGUAUAGCUUUAAGGUUCCUUAUGUCUGCAGUAUUCUGGUUUGGAUCAGCAUCGAUAUUGGCCAUUGUCGAGGACUGUGCCACUGGCCUUACAUGUUCCUUUGGAGUCUAGAUAGUAUUUGAAAAGAAGUUUGAGAUCAUGCGGAGGAUGAAAGUACGUGCUAGUCUGUUUUUGCGAAGCGGAGAAGGACCUUCAGACAUGGAAGAAAUGUGUGUUGAUCUCGGACCAUUACAUGUUAUGGGUUAGAUAAUAAUCCUCAUUCAAUUGAAAAUUUCGAUCCACGUCGAGGCUAUUUUAUCAAGAGAUUUGACUUUGGUGCUUCAUCAAAUGAUGCUGGAUCAACAACAAGCCACAGUGCAUUAUAAUCAAACGAUUGUUUUAUGUCCGGUCACGUAACGUCGACGUUAUCGGUCACGUCUUUUAUAUUUGACGACAUCUUAGGGGAUCUGUAUGUUGUUGACGAAAUCUGAAGUUGGUGGUUGUUCUCAACUUCUCAUAGCCUUGGUCAUUGUUAUUGAAAAAUUCGUCGUUGUUCUGUAGUCUUGGGAAAAAUAUUUGUCUCUGGUUUGUUCUCUACUCCAUUCUUUAAAACUAUGAACAUGCUAAAACAGUUUUUUCCAGCUAUUUUUGUAGAUGUUUUCAUGCAGAGAUAUUUUGGUGCAUUUUGGCCGUUGCAGGCUAAUUAGUGAUUUCAUCUAUCAUUAUCCCGCUACUUAUUGUUAUUAGUUUUGGUUUUUUACUACCCUUGUUUCACAACAUAUUGGUUAUCAGAAUUCGGUUUCGUCGUUAUAUUUUGGGAAUCAAAUUUUGUGGGAACCUGUCGAACAGGAUCCCAGGUCUAACCUGUUCCGCAGCCCACCACACCAAAACAUGAUGGGUGAACGCGAACAAAGGCCAAUAGCCAUAAUAGCCUAACGGUUGACCGGUCACAAAGGACACUUGAGACAGAGCCCUCUUAACGAAGGGUACCUCAAAUACAUUCGUCCCUAAUGUUGUGAUGGAUUAUCAGGAUGAUCAUCCUGGUUUGUAAGUUAUUGGAUCGAAUAUAGUUUCGAUAAAUACUAAUUAAUACUCAGGGAGGACCAUAUGCACAAUGUUGUUUGUAUUUUCUAUAAUCUGAAAUUGAAUAUUCUUAUAGCAUACUCUUUAAUGUUUCGUAGUCUUCUAUACAUACAUAAUUGCUGCAUUUUAAAUACGGUAUUUUAGUAAUUUACUGUAUUUUUAAUUUUGAACAAUAUUGAAAUUGUUCAUAGGUGUGUUCAUUGGUCCUCAUAAUUUGGGGUUUUAAUGUUUGUGUGCUCGACAAGUGUAUAAUUACUUUUAGAACAACCGUUUUAUGGAAGUAGUUUGUUACUUAUUUUGAGUAGUUUAACUACUGAUUUUAACUUCUCAUCCUGCUCCUUAAUUUCUCCUAAUUGCUUGUUUUUAUUCAUUUCGAAAAUCUUUUUUCUUUAUUUGUCUUUUGACAACUAAAUACUUAAUUUCAUGAAGUAUUGUACAAUUUUUUGGCUUAUAAACUUGGUAUGCAACCUUGUGAACGAUACAAUGGAUCCACUAGCUCGAAUUGGAACGAGCGCCCAAUUGCUGUUGCAUAUGGGGGAGGUUGGUGGUUCGAAUCCACCUGGAUCCGCCAACACACGUGACAUUAAAAUUUACUCGCGUUAUUUUAGAACAAUAUAAAUAGAGAAAAGUAGCUUAUGAGUUUAAUACAUUCAAUUGGGUUUAAGUCUCCAAGAAAACUGAUGAAAUCCAUUUAGUUAUUCAUAUUGCAUCAGUUGAAAAUCUGACUGGAUAAGAUAUUGAGAUAUUCAUCUUGAGAAAAAUUUUGUAUGUUUUGAUUUAUAAUUAUUUGUUUGGUCUGUUCUGUUAAAUAUUAUUUCUUUUUGUGACAGCUUUGCACAUCUUAUUUCCUUUGAAUUUUGAUGAAAUCCAGAGACUACUUGGCUGAUAGGAUGUCAAUUUUUAACAGUUGAAGGGUUUGGCGACUGAUGCGUGUGUGGAGAUACACUGGCUGGUCCUCUCUACCUUGGAAAGUAAUCAGGUUUAGAUUUUUGUGGAAUUAGAUUUCUGAGCAAUUAUACUUCUGGAGUUGGCAUUGAUAAAUGUUAGGUUCACUCGCUUCUUUAGUAAUGUAUAUCAUCUCAGACUCAUUAAAAAUUAUGAGAUUUAUGUAGAUUUUACGUUCUUUUGAUAAGUUUCUUUAUGAUUUUGAAUAUCUAAAAACACCUAAUGUCUACCCCUUUCUAGAGAGUAGUGGGACUUGAAUACCAAAACAUGUUGUGGAGUUGGGGAUAUAAGUUUGCUCAUGCAACCAGUUGACAGUGGCUUGCGACCCCAUUUAAAACUUGCAUUUUAGUCGACUUCUGGUAUCAGUCACAUUUCCAUUAGUUUAAUCAAGACAUCGUUGAAGAGAGUCCUCACGGUACAUAGUUCUUAGGACAUUGAGACUAAAAAACUAAAAUAAUAGGGAUUCUAUAUUUCAUAAUUUUUUUAGAUUGGAUAUCUAUUUUUCCAAUUCAGAUUUUGUACCAAUCGAAACACUUCAUUUUUCUUUUGAUCCCGUUCUACAUCUCUGUAGAUUAUUUUAGACUGAAUCAAAUCCCCUUAGCUCCGAGGCAACGAUAGCACGACACUGAGCUUCCACGUUUUCUUGUUAUCGUUGUAAGUUUUUUUUAUAAACUCUGUUUCUGUUCGGAUACAUAAAUCGUUGUAAGUUUUUUUUAUAAACUCUGUUUCUGUUCGGAUACAUAAAUCUUCGUUUCCCGUGAAAAACCUUGCAUGUUUUUGCUCAUCUCUUAAUUUUCAAGACUCAUUCUGGACAAGUGGAAAUUGUGAUGGGUUUUUAGUUUUCAAGACCUGGAAGGAACAAAAGAAAUUUUCUUUUUCAGACAAUUCACUGCGGAAAUUUCAGUAGCAGAUUAUGCUACAACAUGUGAGGCUUGCAUCAGAUGACACCUGCAAACAAGAAGUUUCCUAUAUUUUCAUCAAAAGGGUGCUAUGGAGCUUUCAGUAAAGUAUUCAAUUUUUCUUUCAAGUGACGCCUGAAGGUUUGUGUCAAUUUUUUCUGUUUACGGUUUAAUUUUCUUAAGAGGUGGAGGAACUCUUUGAAAUAGAAGAAUACGAGGCUGAAUAGUUGUUACUGGUUUGAAAGCUACAAGUUUGAGUUGAAAAGUUGAAACUGAUGACAGUUCCAAAUGAUAAACUAUUAGAACAGGCUCAAGAUGAAAGAGAUUCAUUGCAAGUGUUGUGAUAUUCUCAUUGCAAGUUGUAAAUUAUAUAUAUUUGAACUUGAAAAGAUUGCAAAGUAAAGCAACUUCAUGAAAGAGGAUGUCUUUAGGGUAUAAAAUACUGUC
This is a long non-coding RNA of Vigna unguiculata (cowpea), 5048 nucleotides long. RefSeq lists it as uncharacterized. The record is from RefSeq and is a predicted model, not a curated record. NCBI's taxonomy places the organism in Eukaryota, Viridiplantae, Streptophyta, Magnoliopsida, Fabales, Fabaceae.